This 3533-nucleotide unclassified non-coding RNA is filed under the name Drosophila yakuba. Its description in RNAcentral is "GE14413". Lineage: Eukaryota; Metazoa; Arthropoda; Insecta; Diptera; Drosophilidae. The record is from RNAcentral.
CCGAUAAUCAGCCCCUCCAAUUGCCUCCAAAGCUACGUUUGCCAACACUGAAUCUUGUUUUGGAAAUGCAACCACAAUUAAAUUGGCCACUUGUUUACCCCAAAUAAAGUACACAAUCACAAUUAAAUGACGUGAUGGACCAGAAAGGCGCUUCGGGAAGUCAUUCGACCCGGCUAUCCCAAGGAAAAGUCACCCACGCGCAGCAGGCCGCGGCGGAAAGUCGGCGAAGUAACAUCAUCGAGGACAUGGCCAAAAUAUGCGAAGCCGAUCGCCAGACUAGCUCCUUCGCUCAAAGGACUCAAGGUAUCGAGCGGCUUUCGGCUGACAACAGUGGCUUCGUCGCCGUGGAGUACCUUAUUCUGGCCAGCGCUGAGCCCACGCCCGAGGAGCGGGUUGAGAUGAUCAUGCUGGACUUUUGCUCGUCUCCAACUUACACAGAGGAUGAGGAUGAGCCUAGCUAUGAGUCGGAGCCGUGGUUUCGAUUUCGCAAGAAAAGGAUCAAAACUUACGGUCGGAAGAGAGAUACAAAAGGUCAUAUGGUCCUGCGGAACGAGGAGCCCAAUAGUUUCUCGGCCCUCUCUAUACAGAGGGAUCCCAAUAGUUCGUUGACCUCUGUGGCUUGUGACUUUGAUGCUGCGGCAACGCAGAGGAUACACGAGGUCCUGUUAAACCUAAGUCAACACCUUUCGGUGAGCGCCACCGAUUCCAGUCCCACUCCUUCCGUCCCAUCGCAAAUAGAUCUGCCAACCGAAGCCGGGCGAGAUCCUGAGAAUCCCCCGAAUUCUGGGGACCACCCAGUUAACCUUUCAGAUACAAAUAUGGAAGAUGACUGUUUGAACACUGAGGUGAUGAACUUGAGAGACGACCUGUUGGAGAACGGAUUUACCUUCGAGAAAUCUAUGUGUGACCAUGAGCCGGAAGGAACUCUGGCAGACACUCUCUUUGGCGAUACCAGGCAAGCGAUCUCCAUCACGCAUCCCCAAUUGGAAACAGGAGAAUGUAAAGUUUGGUCUGAUGCAGACUUAGUGCUGAAGAAGUCCAAAAAGAUGUCAUUAGAUGUUUUGAACGAACAAAUGCAAGCGGAACAUCCUGUAGAUGAAAAUACGAACCUAAUAUUGGAAGGCAUCCCAAUGAGCGAAUGGCAAACUCCAAUGGAGCUGCCCGAGAAAUCCAAAGAGUUAAUCAAACAUAUACCCGAAGAAAAGGUAAAGUUGGAGCCAAGUUCUCAGAAAAAGCAUGAACGUAGCAAUGAUUCAAAUGAAUCAAAGUUUAGAGCAGUCUCGAACAAAGAAAGUGAUAUUGCCAAAGAAAAGGGAGGUGCUAUGGUCGUGGACAAGUCUAAAGAGAAUGAAAAUUUUCUAAACGACGGUGAUCUUCUUCAGGAGUUUCUGUUUAAUGAAUGGAACCCAAUACAGAGUUUUGAAGGCCCAUCGACAUCUAAGGACGCAAUUGAAGUGCCUAAGAAAAAGAUCAAUUCAAUGAAGCCUGACGACGAGCAGCAACCAGAGAAGAAGACACCCAAUAAAAGUCAGUCCUCAGGUCAUAAAAUUGUUGGCUUUCGAAAAACGCCCUAUAAAUUUAUUAAGGUUUCGGAAGAAAUGAAACUUAAAGGCGAAAAGUUUGUAGCCCAUGUUGUAUCCGAUUUAAAUCAGUCUACUCAAAAGUGCCACUUAGUCACUGAGGAAUACUGCGCUAAUCAUAGUCAAGUGAUGAAUUCAACAUCGAAACCCAUCGAAACAUUGGAUGUUACCAACAAGGAAGCAAAGCUUGAGGUUGGAGAAAUAAAUGCCAAAUUCAGUCCUCUGAAAAAGGAGAGCAUACCAGAGCCCGAGUUUUCUGGCUUCCGUACAGCCUCAAAUAAAGCAAUUGUAAUUUCUGAAAAGAUGAAAAUGAAAACUGCAGAGUUUAUGGCUGAGUUUCAGUCCGCGGAAUCCAAUCAGCAAAAUGGUUAUGAAGUCAAUCAGUCAAAUGACACGAAAUCAAUUGAGAUUUCAAAGGAAAUGCCAUCGAAGGUUUCCAAGUUGGUCAUUGAUAUUAAAAUGGAAGAACCACAUGACUCCAAUCAAUCAACGUUUAUGGGUUUUAGAACAGCGUCAAACAAGGCCAUUGAGAUUACCGAGGCGAUGGAAAAGAGAGGAGCCAUGUUCCUGGCCCAGUCAAAGGCUACAGACCAACAAGACGCAGAACUUACUGAGGAGCUCGUUUUUAGUGAAUGGCUGCCAAGCGAUCUUCCUGAUGUUGCAUCCACCUCUAAUGAUCUAACUGUGGCUCCAAUAAAUGUUGGAAAAACCAAUACUGUGGAUAUGAAAACUAAAACUGAGAGCGAGUUUUUUGGCUUUCGCACGGCCUCAAACAAAGGAAUUGUGAUUUCUGAAAAGAUGAAAAUGAAAACUGCAGAGUUUAUGGCUGAGUUUCAGUCCGCAGAAUCCAAUCAGGAAAAUGGUAAUGAAGUCAAUCAGCCAAAUGACACGGAAUCAAUUGAGAUUUCAAAGGAAAUGCGAUCGAAUACUUCCAAGUUGGUCGUUGAUAAUAAAAUGAAAGAACCAUAUGAACCCACAAAUGCCCAGGAUUGCUGUGACUCCAAUGAAUCAACGUUUACGGGCUUUAGAACAGCGUCAAACAAAGCCAUUGAGUUUACCGAGGCGAUGGAGAGGAGAGGAGCCAUGUUCCUGGCCCAGGUAAAGCAGCCAAGCGAUCUUCCUGAUGUUGCAUCCACCUCUAAUGACCUAACUGUAACUCCAAUAAUUGUUGAAAAAACCAAUACUGUGGAUACGAAAGCCGCUUUUGAAAGCGAGUUUUUUGGUUUUCGAACGGCCUCAAAUAAAGGAAUUGUGAUUUCUGAAAGUACGAAAGUCAAAGCUGCGCAGUUUAUGAGUGAAUUUCAAGCCGUUGGCCCAAGUACUGACUCAAUCAAACCAAUUGGGAUCCCUGAGGAAUCGAAAAGUACUGAUGCUCAGUUCGUGGAGGAAGUGGUGGCAGAAGACAGCCCCAGCAAAGCACCUUUUUAUGUACAAAGUCAAGGAAAUACCUCAGCUAUUGAGCACUUCCAUCGUGACUUCUCCGUAGAUCGUUCGGCAAAGAAAGAGCAUCCGCGGACGCCCAAGAGGUCGCAGGAGAUCCACUCCUCCCUGUCGCAACUUGCCGGCAUAUCACCACUGGAUCAGGCCACCAAGAAGUCCGUGAUAGAGCGCCGUAAUAUCCUGACACUGAAGAGAAGACGAAAGAUCACCUCGUCAACUGAAACUUAUGCAACUUGUGCCUCGCCGGCUGGGGAGAGAUUCGCACCAUUGCCCGCUGCGACAAGCACUCCGCUGGCUGCCAGGAAUUCAAAUCUCCCCGAGGACUGCACAAAUGAUAGGCAGAGUGUGGAGGACAUGUCACCCAUUUGCAUGCAACCCAGAAAGAGUCGAAGACUUGGUUUGAGUGGACGCCGCUAUUAGUUGCUUAUUACCCAACAGAUUUAAGCCGCUGGUCGAUUUAAAUGGGUAGAUACUUAGUUGAAUUAAAGUAUGACAUAUUGAAUGAGUCACUUA